Long non-coding RNA from Maniola jurtina (meadow brown), 233 nucleotides. RefSeq lists it as uncharacterized. The record is from RefSeq and is a predicted model, not a curated record. The transcript has 3 exons. Lineage: Eukaryota; Metazoa; Arthropoda; Insecta; Lepidoptera; Nymphalidae.
AAAAGCUAGCAAAAACUUAGGGUUAUUAUUAAAGUCCUUAAACACAAUCCAAUGCCAAUAACCAUUUGCCUUGUCUUGUAGUUUUAGUGAUUUAGUAUUUUCCAAGCCCGCAAUGUAUAGCGUGCAAAACUCAGGUCAAUGCCCCACGUACUACGCGGCAUUGACCCCGAUUGGCCUAUUUACGUAACGUUCGUUGACCUCUAUCGUCACUAAGAUGUUUCAUUUGCAAUAUU